This 470-nucleotide ribosomal RNA is filed under the name uncultured bacterium. Its description in RNAcentral is "bacterial SSU rRNA". It matches the Rfam family "Bacterial small subunit ribosomal RNA", at positions 915 to 1391 of the family's 1533-position model. The record is from RNAcentral.
GGGGACCCGCAAGCGGUGGAUGAUGUGGAUUAAUUCGAUGCAACGCGAAAAACCUUACCUACCCUUGACAUGUACGGAAGGCCGGAGAGAUCUGGCUGUGCUCGAAAGAGAACCGUAACACAGGUGCUGCAUGGCUGUCGACAGCUCGUGUCGUGAGAUGUUGGGUUAAGUCCCGCAACGAGCGCAACCCUUGUCAUUAGUUGCUACGAAAGGGCACUCUAAUGAGACUGCCGGUGACAAACCGGAGGAAGGUGGGGAUGACGUCAAGUCCUCAUGCCCCUUAUGGGUAGGGCUUCACACGUCAUACAAUGGUACAUACAGAGGGCCGCCAACCCGCGAGGGGGAGCUAAUCCCAGAAAGUGUAUCGUAGUCCGGAUUGUAGUCUGCAACUCGACUACAUGAAGUUGGAAUCGCUAGUAAUCGCGGAUCAGCAUGUCGCGGUGAAUACGUUCCCGGGUCUUGUACACACC